This 702-nucleotide ribosomal RNA is filed under the name Streptomyces sp. RNAcentral's name for it is "bacterial SSU rRNA". It matches the Rfam family "Bacterial small subunit ribosomal RNA", at positions 62 to 779 of the family's 1533-position model. The record is from RNAcentral. Lineage: Bacteria; Bacillati; Actinomycetota; Actinomycetes; Kitasatosporales; Streptomycetaceae.
UCGAACGAUGAACCCACUUCGGUGGGGGAUUAGUGGCGAACGGGUGAGUAACACGUGGGCAAUCUGCCCUUCACUCUGGGACAAGCCCUGGAAACGGGGUCUAAUACCGGAUAACACCGGCCUUCGCAUGGAGGCUGGUUGAAAGCUCCGGCGGUGAAGGAUGAGCCCGCGGCCUAUCAGCUUGUUGGUGGGGUAAUGGCCCACCAAGGCGACGACGGGUAGCCGGCCUGAGAGGGCGACCGGCCACACUGGGACUGAGACACGGCCCAGACUCCUACGGGAGGCAGCAGUGGGGAAUAUUGCACAAUGGGCGAAAGCCUGAUGCAGCGACGCCGCGUGAGGGAUGACGGCCUUCGGGUUGUAAACCUCUUUCAGCAGGGAAGAAGCGAAAGUGACGGUACCUGCAGAAGAAGCGCCGGCUAACUACGUGCCAGCAGCCGCGGUAAUACGUAGGGCGCAAGCGUUGUCCGGAAUUAUUGGGCGUAAAGAGCUCGUAGGCGGCUUGUCACGUCGGAUGUGAAAGCCCGGGGCUUAACCCCGGGUCUGCAUUCGAUACGGGCAGGCUAGAGUGUGGUAGGGGAGAUCGGAAUUCCUGGUGUAGCGGUGAAAUGCGCAGAUAUCAGGAGGAACACCGGUGGCGAAGGCGGAUCUCUGGGCCAUUACUGACGCUGAGGAGCGAAAGCGUGGGGAGCGAACAGGAUU